GGAGGGUGCGAGCGUUAAUCGGAAUUACUGGGCGUAAAGCGCGCGUAGGCGGCUUGGUCAGUCGGAUGUGAAAGCCCCGGGCUUAACCUGGGAAUUGCAUCCGAUACUGCCAGACUAGAGUAUGGGAGAGGGAAGCGGAAUUUCCGGUGUAGCGGUGAAAUGCGUAGAUAUCGGAAGGAACACCAGUGGCGAAGGCGGCUUCCUGGCCCAAUACUGACGCUGAGGUGCGAAAGCGUGGGGAGCGAACAGGGAUUAGAUACCCUGGUAGUCCACGCCGUAAACGAUGAGAACUAGAUGUCGGGAGGAUUUGCCUCUCGGUGUCGCAGCUAACGCGUUAAGUUCUCCGCCUGGGGAGUACGCCGGCAACGGUA
This 371-nucleotide ribosomal RNA is filed under the name uncultured organism. Its description in RNAcentral is "partial 16S ribosomal RNA". It matches the Rfam family "Bacterial small subunit ribosomal RNA", at positions 527 to 896 of the family's 1533-position model. The record is from RNAcentral.